RNAcentral lists this ribosomal RNA (484 nucleotides) under uncultured bacterium. RNAcentral describes it as "bacterial SSU rRNA". It matches the Rfam family "Bacterial small subunit ribosomal RNA", at positions 96 to 564 of the family's 1533-position model. The record is from RNAcentral.
CGGCGGAUGGGUGAGUAUCACGUGGGCAACCUGCCUGUAAGAUUGGGAUAACUCGCGGAAACGUGAGCUAAUACCGAAUGAAGUCUUUCACCGCCUGGUGAAAGGAUGAAAGAUGGCUUUUAGCUAUCACUUACAGAUGGGCCCGCGGCGCAUUAGCUAGUUGGUGGGGUAAAGGCCUACCAAGGCGACGAUGCGUAGCCGACCUGAGAGGGUGAUCGGCCACACUGGGACUGAGACACGGCCCAGACUCCUACGGGAGGCAGCAGUAGGGAAUCUUCCGCAAUGGACGAAAGUCUGACGGAGCAACGCCGCGUGAGUGAUGAAGGUCUUCGGAUCGUAAAACUCUGUUGUCAGGGAAGAACAAGUUGUGUUCUAACAGGACACGACCUUGACGGUACCUGACCAGAAAGCCCCGGCUAACUACGUGCCAGCAGCCGCGGUAAUACGUAGGGGGCAAGCGUUGUCCGGAAUUAUUGGGCGUAAA